This 216-nucleotide long non-coding RNA is filed under the name Pan troglodytes (chimpanzee). RNAcentral describes it as "long non-coding RNA NONPTRT004808". Lineage: Eukaryota; Metazoa; Chordata; Mammalia; Primates; Hominidae. The record is from RNAcentral.
GCAGCAGCAGGAAACUCCCAAACACGAUGCCCGUCUGCUUGAUGUCCCGCCAAUACAGCACCAUUUUACAUGGGUGUGUAAUUAGCAUGAAAGAACAAUAUUGAAAAAGUCACAUGCCCUCAUGACAAUGCAAGGCAAUAGAGGUGACAUAAGGAAUUUUUGCAGAGUAAAGUGGAGAGUAAAUCAGGUCUAAAAGAGUCUCCUUCAUAACAGGCU